CCUACGGGCGGCAGCAGUGAGGAAUAUUGGUCAAUGGACGAGAGUCUGAACCAGCCAAGUAGCGUGAAGGAUGACUGCCCUAUGGGUUGUAAACUUCUUUUAUAUGGGAAUAAAAUGUUCCACGUGUGGGAUUUUGUAUGUACCAUAUGAAUAAGGAUCGGCUAACUCCGUGCCAGCAGCCGCGGUAAUACGGAGGAUCCAAGCGUUAUCCGGAUUUAUUGGGUUUAAAGGGAGCGUAGGUGGAUUGUUAAGUCAGUUGUGAAAGUUUGCGGCUCAACCGUAAAAUUGCAGUUGAAACUGGCAGUCUUGAGUACAGUAGAGGUGGGCGGAAUUCGUGGUGUAGCGGUGAAAUGCUUAGAUAUCACGAAGAACUCCGAUUGCGAAGGCAGUUCACUGGACUGCAACUGACACUGAGGCUCGAAAGUGUGGGUAUCAAACAGGAUUAGAUACCCGGGUAGUC
Molecule: ribosomal RNA, 460 nt
Filed under: uncultured bacterium
Lineage: Bacteria
Description: partial 16S ribosomal RNA
Rfam family: Bacterial small subunit ribosomal RNA
Source: RNAcentral